UUCCUGAUUUUGAUUUUUCAUGUUAUCCAUGGUAAUUGUUUUUACUUUCUUCUGUUUUUCAUUUAGAAAUGUUUCUGUUUUACGUUGGUAUUAACCAUUGAUGUGGAGUGGUUAGGAAGAGAUAGAAAUGGUUAUGUUCUUGAUGAACAUAAAGACAUAUGAGUUAAUAUGACUUUAGUAUGUGCUAUUUCUUAUUAGUUAUAUAAUUAUUCUAUUAUAUUUCUGUGCCAGUUGAGACGGUAAUACAGGUAGAAUUUCUUCCUUUUUAAAGGAAGAAAAAUGUGUUUUUUCUCUAGCUUUUAAAAAGAAAAUCAAGUAGUUUAUGAUGUACCAUAAAGAAAUGUUUUCCUUUAAUUAAUCAUUAUCUUUUUCAGUCAACAAGAUGUUAUUUGGUUCUAUGGUGAUCCAAUAGAGCGUGCUGUAACUAGCUUAUUAUUUUAGUAAAGAGCUGCAUGACCAUUCUGUGCUUAAGAUUUUAGUCUGAUUUGGUGACAUGGCUGAAUAUAAGUUUACACCAUGGAUCAUUAUUUAUUGUAAAAGGGUAAUUGGUAAUUGAUAAGUAGUUUUUCUUAGUGUAAA
This 579-nucleotide ribosomal RNA is filed under the name Kudoa iwatai. Its description in RNAcentral is "small subunit ribosomal RNA". Lineage: Eukaryota; Metazoa; Cnidaria; Myxozoa; Multivalvulida; Kudoidae. The record is from RNAcentral.